This 45-nucleotide non-coding RNA is filed under the name Trichobilharzia regenti. The record is from RNAcentral. Lineage: Eukaryota; Metazoa; Platyhelminthes; Trematoda; Strigeidida; Schistosomatidae.
CAGCAGAUGACGAGUCCCAAACAGGACGAAAUGUACAUCCUGGUG